This is a long non-coding RNA of Mus musculus (house mouse), 2506 nucleotides long. RefSeq annotates it as predicted gene, 35515. The transcript is spliced from 3 exons. The record is from RefSeq and is a predicted model, not a curated record. NCBI's taxonomy places the organism in Eukaryota, Metazoa, Chordata, Mammalia, Rodentia, Muridae.
GAGAGCCCACCCCCGGCUCUCCCGCGGCCCAGGUGCCGCCGCGCCCCGCCCCUCGCCCCGCCCAGCGCUCGGGGAGUCCCGCUUCCGGGCGCCUCUGGUGGCCAAGGGGGCGCUGCGGCACUGAAUGUGAGCACGAGGGAAGGGGCUGGCUAACCUCCCCCAAGGAGACUGGCGGAGCCCCUUAUCACGCCCAGAGGAUCCCUCCAUGCCCAGGAUCGGCCGGUCGCCCCCCCCUCACCCCAAAGUCAAGCAAGGGUGCACUUUCCAGAGAGAACAACUUUGGCAAUAGGACCAAAGGGGUGCAGGACGCUAGAGACUCAGCUAGGAUGCAGGCACUCUGUGACACCAUCCAGACAAACGCAGGAGCCAGAUGACCUGGAAGGAUAAAGCUAGGAGUGUAUCCAUGCCUCGUCCAUCCACCUUCCAUAGAGUACACCGGACUAGGAUUGCCCCGAGCAAGUCAGCCACGGAAUUUACAGUUGACACAACAGAAGAGGAGCCAGGUGGCAUCUGGCUGCAGCUACCUGUCCCGGAAGUGCCUGGUGGUGGUCAAGUUCCAGGAGAGUUCUAUCCUUUAAUCACCGGAAGUUUCCGCCCAUGAUCAGAGUCAGCCAACAUUGCGGUCUGGGAACAGGGCGGUUACAUCUGUGGCGCUUGGAGCUGUGCCUGGCCCCGCAUCAAGCAGUCCUACUUAGCGGUUCUGCAUGGCUUGCAAACAAAGUGGGUUUGGUAACAAAGAAGCCCACGGCACCACACGGAAAAGCAGAGAGCCUUUAAAUUUCCCAGAACGGGAGCCUCUCACCAGACUGAAGUAGCCACCAGGUGAGGCACCUGGAGUUCUCCAAGCAUUUUCAAUUAAUCUUGGAAUGGUCGCUGGAGGCAAGAAGCCAGCGGCGCCUAAAGGAAUGAGAAAGUGCAAACUGAUCCAGAGGAAACAAAGGGCAGCGAGGGACCCCACAGCUGAGGCAGACGACACUGUGAGCGGCUCUGUCGGGAGGCUGGCGAGGCGUGCGCGCGCGGGUCUCUGCCUUAGCACCAUCUGCCGAUUCCUCAAGAGGACACAGAACAGACCAGCGAGCCAUGAAGAUUCGAUUAUGUAACGCGGGAGGAUUGCUUGUUUUCAAAAGGGAGACAAAUGGGAACGAAUUGAUUUGUUUGUCAAAGUCAUGGCCCCAAAGGAGACCAGUCCCCUCCUCUUCCUGGAGGAUUCAUCAAGGAAGGGGAGUGAUUUCACAGGCUCAGAAAAAAGGAGCCCAGGACUCACAGAGUCAGCUCAGAUGGUAACAGCAGCUCCUGGGCCGCAACGCGGUGAGCCACGUGGUAGAAGAAAAGAACCAACUUCAGCUAACAGUCCUCUGACCUCCAUAAGGGCACAUACCCACCCGCCGCGAAAUAAAUCCAUGCAAAACCAUAAUUCACUCCAUUCAUAAAAACGAGUCUAUUUCCAAAAUUGUGCUGGCAAACCUUUCUGGCUUCUCUGCUUGAGAAAUGACCAUUCCGCCGGUACCCAAAGGGCACAGCCAUAGAAUGGAACAUAAUUGGCACCCCCAACCCCAGCUUCAGAACCUGCCUGCUCUGUCUGACCUCUCUCGCUUGCUUUUAGGGAAGUAACAUCUGAUCUCAGAACCAGUGGGGGUCAUCUUACUAUUUCUAUUCUGAACUCUAGAAAGUGCUUUAGAGGCUAGGGGAUCUCUCUCUCUCUCUCUCUCUCUCUCUCUGUGUGUGUGUGUGUGUGUGUGUGUGUGUGUGUGUGUGUUAGUGUGUGUUAGUUGGUCCUUCCCUUCUACCAUGUGUCAGGGCACCAGCAACCAAACUCUGGUCAGCAAUAGCUAUCACCUAUGGCGACAUCUUGGUACCCUCUCACUUUCCUAUUCUUCUUCAUACUAUUCUGUCCUCGGUUUUGCUCCCUUGCCCUCCCUCGCCCUCCGGCUCUUGGGAGCAGCAGAAGACAGAGCAGAGGAUAAAGGUAGUGGUUCAGUAUCCCCAGCUCCUUCCCUGCCUCGGGUUGGCAGAGUCUUUGGAUAGAAGGUUGCCCCCUCUUCAAAGGAGCCUGGCCACUCGGGAGGCAGAGGCAGGCAGAUUUCUGAGUUCGAGGCUAGCCUGGUGUACAGAGUGAGUACCAGGACAGCCAGGGCUACACAGAGAAACCCUGUCUCGAAAGAAAGAAAGAAAGAAAGAAAGAAAGAAAGAAAGAAAGAAAGAAAGAAAGAAAGAAAGAAAGAAAGGAAGGAAGGAAGGAAGGAAGGAAGAAAGAAAGAAAGAAAGAAAGAAAGAAAGAAAGAAAGAAAGAAAGAAAGAAAGAAAGAAAGAAAGAAAGAAAGAAAAGAGCCUGGCUCCCAGAAUCCUCCCUUUCUGGGUUCUGUAACUUCCUCCUCCGCUGUCACAUCUUCGAGCGGUGGCAGGCUCUUUCUACCUCCUUGAACAUUGUAUCAAUCAUACGGUUUCCUUGUGCCCUCCCAAAACCUUGUAAAUCGUCCCUUUAUUAAAUCCUCCUCUGAUAGUCUAA